Molecule: ribosomal RNA, 93 nt
Filed under: Trachelomonas volvocina
Lineage: Eukaryota; Euglenozoa; Euglenophyceae; Euglenales; Euglenaceae
Source: RNAcentral
UUCUAGUGCUAAAUUUAUUUGAAACACCUAAUAACCAUACCGAACUUAGAAGUGAAACGAUAAAUCAGGUUUAAUAGAUCUGUGUGCUAGAAU